Molecule: ribosomal RNA, 255 nt
Filed under: uncultured bacterium
Lineage: Bacteria
Description: partial 16S ribosomal RNA
Rfam family: Bacterial small subunit ribosomal RNA
Source: RNAcentral
CACGUAGGGGGGCAAGCGUUGUCCGGAUUUAUUGGGCGUAAAGAGCUCGUAGGCGGCUUAGUAAGUCGGGUGUGAAACCUCCAGGCUCAACCUGGAGACGCCACCCGAUACUGCUGUGGCUAGAGUCCGGUAGGGGAGCGUGGAAUUCCUGGUGUAGCGGUGAAAUGCGCAGAUAUCAGGAGGAACACCAGCGGCGAAGGCGGCGCUCUGGGCCGGUACUGACGCUGAGGAGCGAAAGCGUGGGGAGCAAACAGG